Non-coding RNA from Tephrocybe rancida, 126 nucleotides. NCBI's taxonomy places the organism in Eukaryota, Fungi, Basidiomycota, Agaricomycetes, Agaricales, Lyophyllaceae. The record is from the annotation of a GenBank genome assembly.
GCCCAGUAGCGUAGUGGUAUCGCGUCCUGCUAACGUCGGCUCGGGCGUGUGUGGUUGCCCGUGGUUACCCACACACGUCGACGUGAAACUUGAAGAGCCUUGUUCGAAUCAAGGACUGGGAAAUCA